Pichia membranifaciens is the source of this 105-nucleotide small nucleolar RNA. It matches the Rfam family "Small nucleolar RNA snR48". Rfam says of the family: snR48 is a member of the C/D class of snoRNA which contain the C (UGAUGA) and D (CUGA) box motifs. Most of the members of the box C/D family function in directing site-specific 2'-O-methylation of substrate RNAs. Lineage: Eukaryota; Fungi; Ascomycota; Pichiomycetes; Pichiales; Pichiaceae. The record is from Rfam.
CGAUAGUGAUGAAUUUUUAUGUUUAUUAUAUGUUUUUUCUGGCAUCUCUAAUGUUAGGGCAGCAUUCUGUUGUUCAAUGAAUACAACUUUUGACUCUAUCUGAUA